RNAcentral lists this ribosomal RNA (482 nucleotides) under uncultured bacterium. Its description in RNAcentral is "bacterial SSU rRNA". It matches the Rfam family "Bacterial small subunit ribosomal RNA", at positions 29 to 507 of the family's 1533-position model. The record is from RNAcentral.
AUUGAACGCUGGCGGCAUGCCUUACACAUGCAAGUCGAACGGUAACGCGGGGCAACCUGGCGACGAGUGGCGAACGGGUGAGUAAUGCAUCGGAACGUGCCCAGUAGUGGGGGAUAGCCCGGCGAAAGCCGGAUUAAUACCGCAUACGACCUACGGGUGAAAGCGGGGGACCGUAAGGCCUCGCGCUAUUGGAGCGGCCGAUGUCAGAUUAGGUAGUUGGUGGGGUAAAGGCCUACCAAGCCUUCGAUCUGUAGCUGGUCUGAGAGGACGACCAGCCACACUGGGACUGAGACACGGCCCAGACUCCUACGGGAGGCAGCAGUGGGGAAUUUUGGACAAUGGGCGCAAGCCUGAUCCAGCCAUGCCGCGUGCGGGAAGAAGGCCUUCGGGUUGUAAACCGCUUUUGUCAGGGAAGAAACGCUCCGGGCUAAUACCCUGGGGUAAUGACGGUACCUGAAGAAUAAGCACCGGCUAACUACGUG